RNAcentral lists this ribosomal RNA (253 nucleotides) under uncultured bacterium. Its description in RNAcentral is "partial 16S ribosomal RNA". It matches the Rfam family "Bacterial small subunit ribosomal RNA", at positions 524 to 776 of the family's 1533-position model. The record is from RNAcentral.
UACGGAGGGUGCGAGCGUUGUCCGGAAUCACUGGGCGUAAAGGGCGCGUAGGCGGCGCGGGUAGUCAUCGGUGAAAGUUCAGGGCUCAACUCUGAAUCGGCCGGUGAUACUCUCGUGCUUGAGCACUGUAGAGGCAGGUGGAAUUCCGGGUGUAGCGGUGGAAUGCGUAGAGAUCCGGAAGAACACCGGUGGCGAAGGCGGCCUGCUGGGCAGUAGCUGACGCUGAUGCGCGACAGCGUGGGGAGCAAACGGG